Molecule: small RNA, 861 nt
Filed under: Pan troglodytes (chimpanzee)
Lineage: Eukaryota; Metazoa; Chordata; Mammalia; Primates; Hominidae
Description: retained intron
Source: RNAcentral
AGUUCCAUGGAAACCCGCUCGCCUGCUGCAGUACGGAGCCUCAGGCGGACAGAUGGACUGUAAGAGGCUAUUUGGAAGCUCCAAACUGUUUAGAAGACCUGGACAGCCAGAAAGUCAUUAGUCCUAUCCAAAAUGAAGCAAUUUGUGCAGUAAAAACAGAUAUUUUAUGGAAGAACUGUGAGUUUCUGGUAAAUCGAAUGUGCCGUCUUGAAAGCCUCAUGCAGUCCUUGAAGAUGAACAUCUUUCGGCUGCAAACUGAAAAGGAUUUGAAUCCUCAGAAAACAGGUAUAGAGAUAAGAAUCAUCAGAAAUGUGGUCCUGUAUAGGUGCUUGAUUUUCUUUACUGACCUUCUUUCUGCUGCUUGAUGCCCCUCCUGUGCGGUCUGGUAGCUUUUCUGAAAGAUCGACUGAAUGCAAUACAGGAAGAGCAUUCUAAGGACCUGAAGCUGUUGCAUCUCGAAGUUAUGAAUUUGCGCCAGCGACUGAGAGCUAUAAAAGAGGAAGAAGACAAGGCACAGGAUGAGGUGCAAAGGUUGACUGCCACUCUGGAGAUUGCCUCACAAACAAAGGUUUGAGUCUAAGAGUUCUGAAGUAUAAACACACUGUUAUGUGUUAGCUGGAGGAGGUAACAGACCUAUGACGUGACUUUUAAAAAUAGGUGAUGUUGAUAUGGGGAUUCUUGGCAUUUGACAUUUGGCAUGUUGAUUUGAGGAUUCUUGGCCUAUGACAUUUGCACUGAUAACCUAAACCACUGUGUGCUAUCUGUGAUUGAUUAUUUGUACAACCCUUACCCCAUACAAGUGAUGGUGUGGGUUCAGAGGUAUGAGAUAGAGCCUGUGCUCUUCAGGAACUCAUAUGCUAG